UGGGGAAUUUUGGACAAUGGGCGCAAGCCUGAUCCAGCCAUGCCGCGUGCGGGAAGAAGGCCUUCGGGUUGUAAACCGCUUUUGNCAGGGAAGAAAUCUUCUGAGUUAAUACCUCGGGAGGAUGACGGUACCUGAAGAAUAAGCACCGGCUAACUACGUGCCAGCAGCCGCGGUAAUACGUAGGGUGCAAGCGUUAAUCGGAAUUACUGGGCGUAAAGCGUGCGCAGGCGGUUUUGUAAGACAGAGGUGAAAUCCCCGGGCUCAACCUGGGAACUGCCUUUGUGACUGCAAGGCUUGAGUGCGGCAGAGGGGGGAUGGAAUUCCGCGUGUAGCAGUGAAAUGCGUAGAUAUGCGGAGGAACGCCGAUGGCGAAGGCAAUCCCCUGGGCCUGCACUGACGCUCAUGCACGAAAGCGUGGGGAGCAAACAGGAUUAGAUACCCCUGGUAGUCCACGCCCUAAAACGAUGUCAACUGGUUGUUGGGAAGGUU
This 489-nucleotide ribosomal RNA is filed under the name uncultured bacterium. RNAcentral's name for it is "partial 16S ribosomal RNA". It matches the Rfam family "Bacterial small subunit ribosomal RNA", at positions 355 to 833 of the family's 1533-position model. The record is from RNAcentral.